Molecule: microRNA precursor, 136 nt
Filed under: Trifolium pratense (red clover)
Lineage: Eukaryota; Viridiplantae; Streptophyta; Magnoliopsida; Fabales; Fabaceae
Description: pre miRNA MIR2118
Source: RNAcentral
GUGUGGUGGGAAUGGGAGAUUGGAGCAGUUAGAAGUUAUGGGAAUGGGUUGUUUGGAAAGAAAUCAUAUAUUAUUUUCCCUUCCAGUUCCACCCAUUCCCCUUAUUUCUAAUUUCUCCUCCCUUUCCCUACCUUCA